RNAcentral lists this ribosomal RNA (468 nucleotides) under uncultured bacterium. RNAcentral describes it as "partial 16S ribosomal RNA". It matches the Rfam family "Bacterial small subunit ribosomal RNA", at positions 28 to 507 of the family's 1533-position model. The record is from RNAcentral.
GACGAACGCUGGCGGCGUGCUUAACACAUGCAAGUCGAACGGAAAGGCCCUGCUUUUGUGGGGGGCUCGAGUGGCGAACGCGUGAGUAACACGUGAGUAACCUGCCCUUGACUUUGGGAUAACGUCAGGAAACUGGCGCUAAUACCGGAUAGGUGCUCCUGCUGCAUGGUGGGGGUUGGAAAGUUUUGGCGGUUGGGGAUGGACUCGCGGCUUAUCAGCUUGCUGGUGGGGUAGUGGCUUACCAAGGCUUUGACGGGUAGCCGGCCUGAGAGGGUGACCGGCCACAUUGGGACUGUGAUACAGCCCCGACUCCUACGGGAGGCAGCAGUGGGGAAUAUUGCACGAUGGGCGGAAGCCUGAGGCAGCAACGCCGCGUGCGGGAUAACGGCCUUCGGGUUGUAAACCGCUUUAGCCUGUGACGAAGCAUGAGUGACGGUAAUGGGUAAAGAAGCACCGGCUAACUACGUG